CCAGACUCCUACGGGAGGCAGCAGUGGGGAAUAUUGCACAAUGGGGGAAACCCUGAUGCAGCGACGCCGCGUGAGUGAAGAAGUAUUUCGGUAUGUAAAGCUCUAUCAGCAGGGAAGAAAAUGACGGUACCUGAUUAAGAAGCCCCGGCUAACUACGUGCCAGCAGCCGCGGUAAUACGUAGGGGGCAAGCGUUAUCCGGAUUUACUGGGUGUAAAGGGAGCGUAGACGGCAGCGCAAGUCUGAAGUGAAAUGCCGGGGCUUAACCCCGGAACUGCUUUGGAAACUGUGUAGCUAGAGUACAGGAGAGGAAAGCGGAAUUCCUAGUGUAGCGGUGAAAUGCGUAGAUAUUAGGAAGAACACCAGUGGCGAAGGCGGCUUUCUGGACUGAAACUGACGCUGAGGCACGAAAGCGUGGGGAGCGAACAGGAUUAGAUACCCCUGUACA
Molecule: ribosomal RNA, 446 nt
Filed under: uncultured bacterium
Lineage: Bacteria
Description: bacterial SSU rRNA
Rfam family: Bacterial small subunit ribosomal RNA
Source: RNAcentral